This 326-nucleotide unclassified non-coding RNA is filed under the name Serendipita vermifera. Its description in RNAcentral is "partial contains 5.8S ribosomal RNA, internal transcribed spacer 2, and large subunit ribosomal RNA". Lineage: Eukaryota; Fungi; Basidiomycota; Agaricomycetes; Sebacinales; Serendipitaceae. The record is from RNAcentral.
CGCACCUUGCACCUUUUGGUAUUCCGAAAGGUACACCUGUUUGAGAGUCAUUAAAAUCAAUCAAACCAUUCGGUUUUGCGACCGUCUGGCUUGGAAUUGGAGGUUUGUGCGGGCUGCCUUUAUUGGCGGUCGGCUCCUCUUAAAUGCAUUAGCUUUGGGACGCAGUAGCUGCUCCGACAAUGCCUCUGGUGUGAUAAUUAUCUAUGCCGUUGGUUAGGAACUUGGCGAACGGUCUUGGCUUCUAACUGUCUCGAAAGGGACUGCAGCUUCGGCUGUAAACCUAUUUGCUUGACCUCAAAUCAGGUGGGACUACCCGCUGAACUUAA